This 253-nucleotide ribosomal RNA is filed under the name uncultured bacterium. RNAcentral's name for it is "partial 16S ribosomal RNA". It matches the Rfam family "Bacterial small subunit ribosomal RNA", at positions 524 to 776 of the family's 1533-position model. The record is from RNAcentral.
UACGUAGGGUGCAAGCGUUAAUCGGAAUUACUGGGCGUAAAGCGCGCGUAGGUGGUUUGUUAAGUUGGAUGUGAAAGCCCCGGGCUCAACCUGGGAACUGCAUCCAAAACUGGCAAGCUAGAGUAGGGCAGAGGGUGGUGGAAUUUCCUGUGUAGCGGUGAAAUGCGUAGAUAUAGGAAGGAACACCAGUGGCGAAGGCGACCACCUGGGCUCAUACUGACACUGAGGUGCGAAAGCGUGGGGAGCAAGCAGG